RNAcentral lists this ribosomal RNA (278 nucleotides) under uncultured prokaryote. Its description in RNAcentral is "partial 16S ribosomal RNA". It matches the Rfam family "Bacterial small subunit ribosomal RNA", at positions 524 to 800 of the family's 1533-position model. The record is from RNAcentral.
UACGUAGGGUGCGAGCGUUGUCCGGAAUUAUUGGGUGUAAAGAGCUCGUAGGUGGUUUGUCGCGUCGUCUGUGAAAUUCCGGGGCUUAACCUCGGGCGUGCAGGCGAUACGGGCAAUACUUGAGUGCUGUAGGGGAGACUGGAAUUCCUGGUGGAGCGGUAAAAUGCGCAGAGAUCAGGAGGAACACCGGUAGCGAAGGCGGUUUUCUGGCUGACAACUGACGCUGAGGCGCGAAAGCGUGGGGAGCAAACAGGAUUAGAUACCCCCGUAGUCCCUGA